This 291-nucleotide ribosomal RNA is filed under the name Martes melampus (Japanese marten). RNAcentral describes it as "partial 12S rRNA". Lineage: Eukaryota; Metazoa; Chordata; Mammalia; Carnivora; Mustelidae. The record is from RNAcentral.
UUCAGCAAACCCUUAAAAGGAAGAAAAGUAAGCACAAUAAUAUUACAUAAAAAAGUUAGGUCAAGGUGUAACCCAUGGAGUGGGAAGAAAUGGGCUACAUUUUCUUAUCAAGAACACACUCACGAAAGUUUUCAUGAAAACUGAAAACUAAAGGUGGAUUUAGUAGUAAACUAAGAAUAGAGAGCUUAGUUGAAUAGGGCCAUGAAGCACGCACACACCGCCCGUCACCCUCCUCAAGCGACACAUUCAAUCAUUACAUAAUACAAACUAAACUAAAGCAAGAGGAGAUAA